Syngnathus acus (greater pipefish) is the source of this 617-nucleotide long non-coding RNA. RefSeq lists it as uncharacterized. The record is from RefSeq and is a predicted model, not a curated record. The transcript is spliced from 3 exons. NCBI's taxonomy places the organism in Eukaryota, Metazoa, Chordata, Actinopteri, Syngnathiformes, Syngnathidae.
AGUGCUGCUGGUAUGCGGCUCUGCUCUUGUCAUCAGCUUCCGCUAUGAGCAGCAGAGGGCUCUUCAGGCAGCACGGACCCAGGUGAACGAGCUGACAGAGGCUGAAGACAAACUGGCAGGCUUUUCACUUUCUGGACCAGAAUUUGCCAUCUCUGCCUGGAAAGAAAAAGGAACAUUGACAACGACUCCAUUUAAGUUUACUGCUUUUAUUUUUAACUGUAGACUGGAAGCAGCCGGUCGCUGGUGCACAGGCAGAGUUCCUGAAAUGUUGUAAAGACUCUCCAGGGUGGACACCUGCACACAACACAAACAAGGGAGCCAUCAAGCUGCCAUUUAGUACAUUUUAUCUGAGCGUCAACUCUGAAAAUGGACAGCCUUAAGGAACCUCUGCAUGGUUUUGGAGGGCUGGUUCCUUUGUCCAGCAGGUGGCAGAUUUUCCAACUGCAUCCUUACUGGAAACUGCUCUGCAGGAAGAGGCAGGCAUACAAAAAACAGGUUCAAAACUUUGUAGAUCUUCACCAGUCGAUCCAUGCUGCAGAAACUAGGUCCUUUGGCCCCACCUGGUGGACAAAAGGAAGAACAUGCUGAAAUGUUUGACGUGUCAAACAUUUGGACGU